GAGUCAGCAACACCCGAAGUCAGUAGCGUAACCGCAAGGAGCGCGCUGCCGAAGGUGGGUUGAUGAUUGGGGUUAAGUCGUAACAAGGUAAC
RNAcentral lists this ribosomal RNA (92 nucleotides) under uncultured bacterium. RNAcentral describes it as "partial 16S ribosomal RNA". It matches the Rfam family "Bacterial small subunit ribosomal RNA", at positions 1408 to 1500 of the family's 1533-position model. The record is from RNAcentral.